RNAcentral lists this ribosomal RNA (791 nucleotides) under uncultured archaeon. Its description in RNAcentral is "bacterial SSU rRNA". It matches the Rfam family "Archaeal small subunit ribosomal RNA", at positions 85 to 879 of the family's 1478-position model. The record is from RNAcentral.
ACGGCUCAGUAACACGUGGAUAACCUGCCCAAGGGUUCGGGAUAACCCCGGGAAACUGGGGAUAAUACCGGAUGGAUCACUAGUGCUGGAAUGCUUGGUGGUUUAAAGGUAACGCCUUUGGAUGGGUCUGCGGCGGAUUAGGUUGACGCCGGUGUAACGUACCGGCGUGCCUGUAAUCCGUACGGGUUGUGGGAGCAAGAGCCCGGAGAUGGAUUCUGAGACACGAAUCCAGGCCCUACGGGGCGCAGCAGGCGCGAAAACUCUACAAUGCAGGCAACUGCGAUAGGGGGACAUCGAGUGGCAUCCACCUUGGGUGCCUGUCCAACCGUCUAAAAAACGGUUGUUAGCAAGGGCCGGGUAAGACCGGUGCCAGCCGCCGCGGUAAUACCGGCGGCUCGAGUGGUGGCCGAUAUUAUUGAGUCUAAAGGGUCCGUAGCCGGCUUUGCAAGUCCCCUGGGAAAUCCAGCGGCUUAACCGUUGGGCUUUCAUGGGAUACUACAUUGCUUGGGACUGGGAGAGGUAGGAGGUACUCGGGGGGUAGGGGUGAAAUCCUGUAAUCCUCCGGGGACCACCGGUGGCGAAGGCGUCCUACCAGAACAGGUCCGACGGUGAGGGACGAAAGCUAGGGGCACGAACCGGAUUAGAUACCCGGGUAGUCCUAGCCGUAAACGAUGCCCGCUAGGUGUCACGACGGUCGUGAAUCGUCGUGGUGCCGUAGGGAAGCCGCGAAGCGGGCCACUUGGGAAGUGCGGCCGCAAGGCUGAAACUUAAAGGAAUUGGCGGGGGAGCAC